RNAcentral lists this ribosomal RNA (248 nucleotides) under uncultured bacterium. RNAcentral describes it as "partial 16S ribosomal RNA". It matches the Rfam family "Bacterial small subunit ribosomal RNA", at positions 976 to 1220 of the family's 1533-position model. The record is from RNAcentral.
AGGCCUUGACAUCCCGGUCGCGGCCCCUUGAAAGAGGGGCCUUCAGUUCGGCUGGACCGGUGACAGGUGCUGCAUGGCUGUCGUCAGCUCGUGUCGUGAGAUGUUGGGUUAAGUCCCGCAACGAGCGCAACCCUCGCCCUUAGUUGCCAUCAUUAAGUUGGGCACUCUAAGGGGACUGCCGGUGAUAAGCCGCGAGGAAGGUGGGGUUGAAGUCAAGUCCUCAUGGCCCUUACGGUCUGGGCUACACG